Molecule: ribosomal RNA, 429 nt
Filed under: uncultured bacterium
Lineage: Bacteria
Description: bacterial SSU rRNA
Rfam family: Bacterial small subunit ribosomal RNA
Source: RNAcentral
UAGGGAAUUUUCGGCAAUGGGGGGAACCCUGACCGAGCGAUGCCGCGUGAGUGAUGAAGGUCUUCGGACUGUAAAACUCUGUUAUUAGGGAAGAAUACUAUAGGGAGGAAAUGCCUUAUAGAUGACGGUACCUAAUGAGGAAGCCCCGGCCAACUAUGUGCCAGCAGCCGCGGUAAUACAUAGGGGGCGAGCGUUAUCCGGAAUUACUGGGCGUAAAGGGUGCGUAGGCGGUUUCUUAAGUCUAGUGUGAAAGCCCACGGCUUAACCGUGGAGGGUCAUUAGAAACUGGGAGACUUGAGUACAGCAGAGGUAAGUGGAAUUUCUAGUGGAGCGGUGAAAUGCGUAGAUAUUAGAAGGAACACCAGUGGCGAAGGCGGCUUACUGGGCUGGAACUGACGCUGAGGCACGAAAGCGUGGGGAGCAAACAGG